This 247-nucleotide ribosomal RNA is filed under the name uncultured bacterium. RNAcentral describes it as "partial 16S ribosomal RNA". It matches the Rfam family "Bacterial small subunit ribosomal RNA", at positions 523 to 769 of the family's 1533-position model. The record is from RNAcentral.
AUACGGAGGAUGCGAGCGUUAUCCGGAUUUAUUGGGUUUAAAGGGUGCGUAGGCGGAGCAUCAAGUCAGCGGUGAAAGUUCGUGGCUCAACCAUGAAAUUGCCGUUGAAACUGUUGUUCUUGAGUGUAGAUGAGGUAGGCGGAAUUCGUAGUGUAGCGGUGAAAUGCUUAGAUAUUACGCAGAACUCCGAUUGCGAAGGCAGCUUACUAAGCUACAACUGACACUGAAGCACGAAAGUGUGGGGAUC